GCGGUAUAAGCUACUUAGUGUGACGGACACCAUUAUCGUUACUCACAUUUAACUAAUUAUUGAGCUGAUUACAUUACAGGUUCUCUGUCCAUGCUAUUUGAAGACAAGGAGGUGUAGUUUAGGCUCAUAUCUAACAAAACAGCUUUGCUUUUACCAUACUAGAACGUGAUUGAUUUAUGCUGUACUUUGAAAUCUGCUCUGCAGAUGAUCC
This 211-nucleotide long non-coding RNA is filed under the name Elaeis guineensis (African oil palm). Its description in RNAcentral is "long non-coding RNA (EGUI_LNC000099)". Lineage: Eukaryota; Viridiplantae; Streptophyta; Magnoliopsida; Arecales; Arecaceae. The record is from RNAcentral.